This 497-nucleotide ribosomal RNA is filed under the name uncultured bacterium. RNAcentral's name for it is "partial 16S ribosomal RNA". It matches the Rfam family "Bacterial small subunit ribosomal RNA", at positions 28 to 507 of the family's 1533-position model. The record is from RNAcentral.
GAUGAACGCUGGCGGCGUGCCUAAUACAUGCAAGUCGAGCGAACGGACGAGAAGCUUGCUUCUCUGAUGUUAGCGGCGGACGGGUGAGUAACACGUGGAUAACCUACCUAUAAGACUGGGAUAACUUCGGGAAACCGGAGCUAAUACCGGAUAAUAUUUUGAACCGCAUGGUUCAAAAGUGAAAGACGGUCUUGCUGUCACUUAUAGAUGGAUCCGCGCUGCAUUAUCUAGUUGGUAAGGUAACGGCUUACCAAGGCAACGAUGCAUAGCCGACCUGAGAGGGUGAUCUGCCACACUGGAACUGAGACACGGUCCAGACUCCUACGGGAGGCAGCAGUAGGGAAUCUUCCGCAAUGGGCGAAAGCCUGACGGAGCAACGCCGCGUGAGUGAUGAAGGUCUUCGGAUCGUAAAACUCUGUUAUUAGGGAAGAACAUAUGUGUAAGUAACUGUGCACAUCUUGACGGUACCUAAUCAGAAAGCCACGGCUAACUACGUG